Molecule: ribosomal RNA, 468 nt
Filed under: uncultured bacterium
Lineage: Bacteria
Description: partial 16S ribosomal RNA
Rfam family: Bacterial small subunit ribosomal RNA
Source: RNAcentral
GACGAACGCUGGCGGCGUGCUUAACACAUGCAAGUCGAACGGACAGGCCCUGCUUUUGUGGGGUGCUCGAGUGGCGAACGGGUGAGUAACACGUGAGUAACCUGCCCUUGACUUUGGGAUAACUUCAGGAAACUGGGGCUCAUACCGGAUAGGAGCUCCUGCUGCAUGGUGGGGGUUGGAAAGUUUCGGCGGUUGGGGAUGGACUCGCGGCUUAUCAGCUUGUUGGUGGGGUAGUGGCUUACCAAGGCUUUGACGGGUAGCCGGCCUGAGAGGGGGACCGGCCACAUUGGGACUGAGAGACGGCCCAGACUGCUACGGGAGGCAGUGGGGGGGAAUAUUGCGCAGUGGGCGGAAGCCUGAUGCAGCAACGCCGCGUGCGGGAUGACGGCCUUCGGGUGGUAAACCGCUUUGGCCUGAGACGAAGAGUGAGUGACGGUAAUGGGUAAAGAAGCAACGGCUAACUACGUG